This 582-nucleotide ribosomal RNA is filed under the name uncultured bacterium. Its description in RNAcentral is "partial 16S ribosomal RNA". It matches the Rfam family "Bacterial small subunit ribosomal RNA", at positions 355 to 935 of the family's 1533-position model. The record is from RNAcentral.
UGGGGAAUUUUGGACAAUGGGCGAAAGCCUGAUCCAGCAAUGCCGCGUGUGUGAAGAAGGCCUUCGGGUUGUAAAGCACUUUUGUCCGGAAAGAAAUCCUUGGCCCUAAUACAGUCGGGGGAUGACGGUACCGGAAGAAUAAGCACCGGCUAACUACGUGCCAGCAGCCGCGGUAAUACGUAGGGUGCAAGCGUUAAUCGGAAUUACUGGGCGUAAAGCGUGCGCAGGCGGUUUGCUAAGACCGAUGUGAAAUCCCCGGGCUCAACCUGGGAACUGCAUUGGUGACUGGCAGGCUAGAGUAUGGCAGAGGGGGGUAGAAUUCCACGUGUAGCAGUGAAAUGCGUAGAGAUGUGGAGGAAUACCGAUGGCGAAGGCAGCCCCCUGGGCCAAUACUGACGCUCAUGCACGAAAGCGUGGGGAGCAAACAGGAUUAGAUACCCUGGUAGUCCACGCCCUAAACGAUGUCAACUAGUUGUUGGGGAUUCAUUUCCUUAGUAACGUAGCUAACGCGUGAAGUUGACCGCCUGGGGAGUACGGUCGCAAGAUUAAAACUCAAAUGAAUUGACGGGGUCAUAGCUGUUU